CUCUUUUGUAAUGUCUUCGUUAUCAGAGCCCUUCAAAUUAGAAUAGUGGUGAUGAUCUUGUCAAUGCUGAGGUUUUCAUGCAUCAACAGCCACUACAUCUGGAUCAGAUUGAACAAGAAACAGACAGCAAGGGUUGUCAGAUCAGAAACAGAAUGACACACAAACACAAGAAACUUCACAGGCAGAUCAACAUGCAAUUUGAAGACGAGUGAUAAAAUACAGAGAGGUGAAGUAGUGUGUCUUUCCAGAUCCCCAAAUCAUUCCCCCUUAAAAG
Non-coding RNA from Paramisgurnus dabryanus, 274 nucleotides. The record is from RefSeq and is a predicted model, not a curated record. NCBI's taxonomy places the organism in Eukaryota, Metazoa, Chordata, Actinopteri, Cypriniformes, Cobitidae.